AGGUAAUAACAUGGUUAUAUACAGGGAGUACCAGGUAAUAACAUCGCUAUAUACAGGGAGUACCAGGUAAUAACAUGGCUAUAUACAGGGAGUACCAGGUAAUAACAUGGUUAUAUACAGGGAGUACCAGGUAAUAACAUGGUUAUAUACAGGAAGUACCAGGUAAUAACAUGGCUAUAUACAGG
Oncorhynchus keta (chum salmon) is the source of this 185-nucleotide long non-coding RNA. RefSeq lists it as uncharacterized. NCBI's taxonomy places the organism in Eukaryota, Metazoa, Chordata, Actinopteri, Salmoniformes, Salmonidae. The record is from RefSeq and is a predicted model, not a curated record. The transcript has 3 exons.